UUGACCUCGAAUCAGGUAGGGAUACCCGCUGAACUUAAGCAUAUCAAA
RNAcentral lists this ribosomal RNA (48 nucleotides) under Neoerysiphe hiratae. RNAcentral's name for it is "partial 28S ribosomal RNA". The record is from RNAcentral. Lineage: Eukaryota; Fungi; Ascomycota; Leotiomycetes; Helotiales; Erysiphaceae.